CCUACUCAAGAUGGAGUCGCUCUGGUUUGAACGCCUCUGACACUUCCACUCUCAAGGAAUGGUGUUUUUAUUCUCUUCUCCCCAGAAUGUACUUCUGGUCUGUCCCGCUGUUCCAUUCCACAGCAUUUUAGGAGGUUCUCAAGAGUGUCCUAAACAAGCAGAGAAGAAUGGUGAGACUUACCCAUUCCUAGUUUAAGAAAUGAGUGAAAUGGGGUCUGAGUUAUAUCACAGCUACAGUUUAGACUCCUGUGGUACAGUUGGCUUUCCCAGGGUCCCGGCGUCCAUGCUGUCUCGGCGCUAUCUCGCAGCCUGACGCCACGCGCCAUCUGCUGGCCUUGAGCUGUAUAGCUCUAGAGUAACUUCAGAGGCCACGGGGGAACAAAGAGCACUCGCCUCCUUGACUGAGCUCCGACAGGCCGUCCCUCUGCUUCAGGUGUAGGCGUGCACAAGUCCAGACCACUACCUUAACAGUAACAAGUACUUGACACAUGUCCUUGGUCUAGAAAGGAUGGAGGAGCCACAGACAGCUGAGGUGCAGGCUCCAGCUCAAUGGCCUGUCAUUACAAGAGGCUCUUGGAGUUUCUGAUCUUCUUCGCCUCUCUCUAUGCCCAACCCUGUCUAGAGUGCACCUCAGCAUGAUUUUAGAAAACAGCAUGGAGAAAGAGAAGUUGAGGCCAGUCUUUCUCCUCCAAUCACCAAGUAUCUAUUAAAAGCCAUUCCCUCCA
RNAcentral lists this long non-coding RNA (725 nucleotides) under Pan troglodytes (chimpanzee). Its description in RNAcentral is "lincRNA". The record is from RNAcentral. Lineage: Eukaryota; Metazoa; Chordata; Mammalia; Primates; Hominidae.